UCUGGGGCCACCCCGACCUGCUGAGGAAGGAUGGCCUUCAUCCUAACCGUGAAGGCGCCUUCACUCUUUCAAGGAAUAUAGAUUUCUGUUUGAGACAUUCAUGACAGGUCACUUUAGAGCAGGCCGGGUCACAAGUGACUAGGCCACCUGUUAGGAUGGGUUUGGAGUCUGUUAAGUUAAAGUUAACUAGCGCUAGGCUAGAUUCCCAGCAUGCACAUAGCUUCUUGUGGAGACUCGAGCGUCACAGUUUGAAUAGUGCUACAGUAUACAUUGACACACUUUCUACUGAGGUAGUAGACACAUCCAAUCACUCCACCCUGACCGGUCACGUUGAUGGAACGGUGCCUGUUCCAGAUAAUAUUACAUGUUUGCCGAAUAUUAACUAUCAAAUUCCUAUGGUUGUAUCUAACCGCCGCGCUAAUAAACAUUUUAGAGCAGUGGUUCUUAGUCUG
Long non-coding RNA from Syngnathus acus (greater pipefish), 452 nucleotides. RefSeq lists it as uncharacterized. The record is from RefSeq and is a predicted model, not a curated record. Lineage: Eukaryota; Metazoa; Chordata; Actinopteri; Syngnathiformes; Syngnathidae. The transcript has 3 exons.